RNAcentral lists this ribosomal RNA (428 nucleotides) under uncultured archaeon. RNAcentral describes it as "bacterial SSU rRNA". It matches the Rfam family "Archaeal small subunit ribosomal RNA", at positions 474 to 903 of the family's 1478-position model. The record is from RNAcentral.
UACCAGCUCUCCGAGUGGUGUGGAUGUUUAUUGGGCCUAAAGCAUCCGAAGCUGGCUGGGCAAGUCCCCUGUUAAAUCCACCGAUUUAAUCGUUGGAGUGCGGGGGAUACUGUUCGGCUAGGGGACGGGAGAGGCAGACGGUAUUUUCGGGGUAGGGGUGAAAUCCUAUAAUCCCGGGAAGACCACCAGUGGCGAAGGCUGUCUGCUAGAACGCGCCCGACGGUGAGGGAUGAAAGCUGGGGGAGCGAACCGGAUUAGAUACCCGGGUAGUCCCAGCUGUAAACGAUGCAGGCUAGGUGUUUGGGCGGCCACGUGCCGCUCUAGUGCCGCAGGGAAGCCGUUAAGCCUGCCGCCUGGGGAGUACGGCCGCAAGGCUGAAACUUAAGGAAUUGGCGGGGGAGCACCACAAGGGGUGAAGCUUGCGGUUU